This is a long non-coding RNA of Fundulus heteroclitus (mummichog), 716 nucleotides long. RefSeq lists it as uncharacterized. The transcript has 2 exons. The record is from RefSeq and is a predicted model, not a curated record. Lineage: Eukaryota; Metazoa; Chordata; Actinopteri; Cyprinodontiformes; Fundulidae.
GAGGGAGAGAGGGAGGGAGAGGGAGGGAGGUGUGUGUCGCGCUCAGGCUUGUUCCUGCAGCCUCAUUCCUGCCUCUUCCUCUCUGUUUGUUCCCUUCACUGCAGCAACCAGAACCUGAUCCGCUCUGCAGCUUCAGGGGAUUCAGUCCCUGCUGCAGCAGAAACCAGCGUCUGCAUGAAGUUUCAGGGUGUUUUCACACGAAGGAGGGACACCGCCUCCUUUGAAAUAACCCCACCAUCAUGGCAGCAGCUCCCACAGAGGAGCAGCUCAGAGCGGACAGCCCGUCGCUGAAAGAACCAACAAAGUUCUGCAAAGAUCAGCAGAGGACGGUCCAUGGGGCUGAGAUGCCUUCAGGGCUGAGAGACGCUUUGAAAUCUGCUCUGAUGAGAGAACGGGAGAGGAAGAGGAGAAGAAGAGGGUCUCCAUCAGCAUCAAACAGCAGCAGCAGAAGGACCUGGGCGUUAACCAGAACCUUCAGCCUGAAACGCUGCAGGAACAGAGAUCCACAGAGCCGAGCGUUUUUGUCCUGCACAGCGACGGCCGAUAAUCCUCCACACAAACAGAACUGCUGGGAAAUCAAGUCUGCCGCUGCUGAUGGAGCAGAACCGGCUCAUCUGGCUGAGCAGGGAGGAGAAUUCAGCUGACUGCAAGCUUUAACAUAAAGAGACAAUAAUAAACUUCUAAAGGCAAAAACCUGAAGUUUUGUUGAAAUAAAU